GCAGACACAUUCCAUCCAAUCAGCAGCAGACCCUCCCUCCCUGACCAUCCCACCUACUGGACAGCAUCCAUUUUGAAGCUGCAUUCUUAAUGAGCUGUCCAGGAGGUGGGAGGGUCUGGGAGGGAGGGUCUGCUGCUGAUUGGCUGGAAUUUGUCUG
RNAcentral lists this microRNA precursor (157 nucleotides) under Pelobates cultripes (western spadefoot toad). Lineage: Eukaryota; Metazoa; Chordata; Amphibia; Anura; Pelobatidae. The record is from RNAcentral.